Molecule: transfer RNA, 75 nt
Filed under: Planctomycetota bacterium
Lineage: Bacteria; Pseudomonadati; Planctomycetota
Description: tRNA-Thr
Rfam family: tRNA
About the family: Transfer RNA (tRNA) molecules are approximately 80 nucleotides in length. Their secondary structure includes four short double-helical elements and three loops (D, anti-codon, and T loops).
Source: RNAcentral
GCCAGGGUAGCUCAAUGGCAGAGCAGAGCUUUCGUAAAGCUCAGGUUGUGGGUUCGAAUCCCAUCCCUGGCUCCA